AGAUUGAACGCUGGCGGCAUGCCUUACACAUGCAAGUCGAACGGUAGAGUAGCAAUACUUGAGAGUGGCGAACGGGUGAGUAAUAUAUCGGAACGUGCCCAGUCGUGGGGGAUAACGUAGAGAAAUUUACGCUAAUACCGCAUACGGUCUAAGGAUGAAAGCGGGGGACCGUAAGGCCUCGCGCGAUUGGAGCGGCUGAUAUCAGAUUAGGUUGUUGGUGAGGUAAAAGCUCACCAAGCCGACGAUCUGUAGCUGGUUUGAGAGAACGACCAGCCACACUGGACUGAGACACGGCCCAGACUCCUACGGGAGCAGCAGUGGGGAAUUUGGACAAUGGGACGAAAGCCUAGAUCCAGCAAUGCCGCGUGCAGGAAGAGCCUGGGUUGUAACUGUCUUUGUACGAGACGUAAAGUC
RNAcentral lists this ribosomal RNA (414 nucleotides) under uncultured soil bacterium. RNAcentral describes it as "bacterial SSU rRNA". It matches the Rfam family "Bacterial small subunit ribosomal RNA", at positions 26 to 454 of the family's 1533-position model. The record is from RNAcentral.